This 305-nucleotide long non-coding RNA is filed under the name Anser cygnoides (Swan goose). RNAcentral's name for it is "lncRNA (ENSACDG00005002863.1)". The record is from RNAcentral. Lineage: Eukaryota; Metazoa; Chordata; Aves; Anseriformes; Anatidae.
AUGGUGGGCUACAGGAGGGCCUUCCAGCCGUGCAGCCGGUGUGGACAGGGGGUGCAGAGGAUCAGGGCAGAAAAGUGGCAGAAAAGGGUGGCCAGCCUAACAAAGCUGAAGCUUUGGAGAGGAGUCUGUGAGCACAGCCCCAUGCACAAGGAGGGGGCUGAAGAGACAUGCAGCAUUCCAGUAUUGCCCUUCACAUUUCCUAACAGUUUUUAUGAAGGUAGCAGCAGAGGAGAAGCCCCAGUGCGUGAGCGGAAGCCACAGCAUUGCAGCACUUGGUCUCUGGGCUGCAGCGCAGACUGCUGAGC